CCUACGGGUGGCAGCAGUGAGGAAUAUUGGUCAAUGGACGAGAGUCUGAACCAGCCAAGUAGCGUGAAGGAUGACUGCCCUAUGGGUUGUAAACUUCUUUUAUAUGGGAAUAAAACGUUCCACGUGUGGGAUUUUGUAUGUCCCAUAUGAAUAAGGAUAGGCUAACUCCGUGCCAGCAGCCGCGGUAAUACGGAGGAUCCGAGCGUUAUCCGGAUUUAUUGGGUUUAAAGGGAGCGUAGGUGGAUUGUUAAGUCAGUUGUGAAAGUUUGCGGCUCAACCGUAAAAUUGCAGUUGAAACUGGCAGUCUUGAGUACAGUAGAGGUGGGCGGAAUUCGUGGUGUAGCGGUGAAAUGCUUAGAUAUCACGAAGAACUCCGAUUGCGAAGGCAGUUCACUGGACUGCAACUGACACUGAGGCUCGAAAGUGUGGGUAUCAAACAGGAUUAGAUACCCCUGUAGUC
RNAcentral lists this ribosomal RNA (460 nucleotides) under uncultured bacterium. Its description in RNAcentral is "partial 16S ribosomal RNA". It matches the Rfam family "Bacterial small subunit ribosomal RNA", at positions 338 to 795 of the family's 1533-position model. The record is from RNAcentral.